This 195-nucleotide unclassified non-coding RNA is filed under the name plant metagenome. RNAcentral's name for it is "partial contains small subunit ribosomal RNA, internal transcribed spacer 1, and 5.8S ribosomal RNA". The record is from RNAcentral.
UUUCCGUAGGUGAACCUGCGGAAGGAUCAUUACUAGUUUAGGGUACCCAGUGCCCAAACUUCAACCCUUUGAUUUAACCAAAUUGUUUCUCUGCCGGUUUCGACCGGCAGAAGUUUUCUCAAACUCAUUAGAAAUUGUCUCUGAAAUUUAAAAUAAAAUAUUAUAAAACUUUCAACAACGGAUCUCUUGGUUCUG